UCGGGAUAGCUCANCUGGUAGAGCAGAGGACUGAAAAUCCUCCGUGUCAC
This 50-nucleotide transfer RNA is filed under the name Gilbertiodendron unijugum. RNAcentral's name for it is "partial tRNA-Phe". Lineage: Eukaryota; Viridiplantae; Streptophyta; Magnoliopsida; Fabales; Fabaceae. The record is from RNAcentral.